This 459-nucleotide ribosomal RNA is filed under the name uncultured bacterium. Its description in RNAcentral is "partial 16S ribosomal RNA". It matches the Rfam family "Bacterial small subunit ribosomal RNA", at positions 338 to 795 of the family's 1533-position model. The record is from RNAcentral.
CCUACGGGAGGCAGCAGUGAGGAAUAUUGGUCAAUGGGCGAGAGCCUGAACCAGCCAAGUCGCGUGAGGGAAGACGGUCCUAUGGAUUGUAAACCUCUUUUGCCGGGGAGCAAAACGCGGUACGUGUACCGCACCGAGAGUACCCUGCGAAAAAGCAUCGGCUAACUCCGUGCCAGCAGCCGCGGUAAUACGGAGGAUGCGAGCGUUAUCCGGAUUUAUUGGGUUUAAAGGGUGCGCAGGCGGCGGGUUAAGUCAGCGGUAAAAUUUCGGGGCUCAACCCCGACAAGCCGUUGAAACUGGCGUGCUAGAGUGGGCGAGAAGUAGGCGGAAUGCGUGGUGUAGCGGUGAAAUGCAUAGAUAUCACGCAGAACUCCGAUUGCGAAGGCAGCAUACCGGCGCCCAACUGACGCUCAGGCACGAAAGCGUGGGUAUCGAACAGGAUUAGAUACCCGUGUAGUC